UGGGGAAUAUUGGACAAUGGGCGGAAGCCUGAUCCAGCAACGCCGCGUGAGGGAUGACGGCCUUCGGGUUGUAAACCUCUUUCGCCUGUGACGAAGCGCAAGUGACGGUAACAGGUAAAGAAGCACCGGCCAACUACGUG
Molecule: ribosomal RNA, 140 nt
Filed under: uncultured bacterium
Lineage: Bacteria
Description: partial 16S ribosomal RNA
Rfam family: Bacterial small subunit ribosomal RNA
Source: RNAcentral